Molecule: long non-coding RNA, 263 nt
Filed under: Lathyrus oleraceus (garden pea)
Lineage: Eukaryota; Viridiplantae; Streptophyta; Magnoliopsida; Fabales; Fabaceae
Description: Pisum sativum (pea) long non-coding RNA (PSAT_LNC007955)
Source: RNAcentral
UUGAUUCAGGUUUGAGGGAUGAAGGUUGAAGAUGAAGACAAAGGGUUAGUGCUUAUGGGUAGUUAGGGUUCAUGUUAUGAGGGUUAGGGUUUAUAAGAAUCUAGGUUUGGGUUAAAGUUUAGGGUUUCUAGAUAGUCAAGGUUCAUGUUAGAAGGGUUAGGGUUGACGUUUAGGGUUAGGGUUCUUUGGGUUCUUUCUAGGGUUCCUACUUCUAGGGUUAUGGUUUAUGUUUGAUAAAGGUUCUAGGUUGAACAUUCAUCGUG